Molecule: ribosomal RNA, 253 nt
Filed under: uncultured bacterium
Lineage: Bacteria
Description: partial 16S ribosomal RNA
Rfam family: Bacterial small subunit ribosomal RNA
Source: RNAcentral
UACAGAGGGGGCCAGCGUUAUUCGGAAUUAUUGGGCGUAAAGGGCGCGUAGGCGGCCAUGCGUGUCUUCCGUGAAAUCCCUCGGCUUAACCGAGGACGUGCGGAAGAAACUGCAAGGCUCGAGUCCGGAAGAGGGGGGCGGAAUUCCCAGUGUAGCGGUGAAAUGCGUAGAUAUUGGGAGGAACACCAGUGGCGAAGGCGGUCCCCUGGGCCGGAACUGACGCUGAGGCGCGAAAGCGUGGGUAGCAAACGGG